Non-coding RNA from Notechis scutatus (mainland tiger snake), 732 nucleotides. Lineage: Eukaryota; Metazoa; Chordata; Lepidosauria; Squamata; Elapidae. The record is from RefSeq and is a predicted model, not a curated record.
GUACAGUAGUUGUCCAUCGCCUAAGAAUAGAUUUGUCUGUUGCCACCUUGCUACGAGGAGAAUGUACCACAAUUCAUUGUGGAUUGAAAAUUGUUCUCCCAAUGUACUCCAUUCCAGCUUUUCCUUCCUGAAACAUAGACAUUGCAUGCCACCCAGAGGUGAAGCCAUCAGAUCAUCUCAGCAGCCAUCGCUGGUCACCUUCUCCCGGUCCUCUCAGAUCCUGGUUUCUCCUGCUGCUCGCUGCCAGCCGCCGCUUGCUCACGGUCUGCAAGACACCCCAACUCCUUCAGCCGUCCCUCCAGGACUUGUGACAGCUCCAAUGAGCUCCACGGACACAGGAAAAGUGACUUGCGAAGUGGAGAAGAUUGCUCGCACUGCUGCUUUCUCCAACAGCUGGCCCCGGAGAUGGCACCUCCCACCCACCAGAUUAGCUAAAAUGAAUGGCUUCCAAUCUUCGACAUGCUGGAAAUGCCUGAAAGAACGAAGCACUUACUACCAUAUGUGGUGGAAGUGCAAGAAAAUGCAAGAAUUUUGGCAAAAAAAUUGGCAAUGGAUAGAGGAAAUGUUAAAUGUAAAAAUAAAUUAUACACCAGAAAUGUUCUUACUAGGAAUAACAAAUGAGAAUCUUAAAAAAGCAGAUCUGUAUCUAAUUAUACAUAUUAUCACAGCCGCAAGAUUAUCAAUUGCCCAAAUAUGGAAAUCAAAAGAAAUACCUAAUGAUGAAAUACUAAA